This 551-nucleotide ribosomal RNA is filed under the name uncultured Bifidobacterium sp. RNAcentral describes it as "bacterial SSU rRNA". It matches the Rfam family "Bacterial small subunit ribosomal RNA", at positions 147 to 710 of the family's 1533-position model. Lineage: Bacteria; Bacillati; Actinomycetota; Actinomycetes; Bifidobacteriales; Bifidobacteriaceae. The record is from RNAcentral.
CUCCUGGAAACGGGUGGUAAUGCCGGAUGCUCCGGUUGGAUGCAUGUCCUUCCGGGAAAGAUUUCAUCGGUAUGGGAUGGGGUCGCGUCCUAUCAGGUAGUCGGCGGGGUAACGGCCCACCGAGCCUACGACGGGUAGCCGGCCUGAGAGGGCGACCGGCCACAUUGGGACUGAGAUACGGCCCAGACUCCUACGGGAGGCAGCAGUGGGGAAUAUUGCACAAUGGGCGCAAGCCUGAUGCAGCGACGCCGCGUGCGGGAUGACGGCCUUCGGGUUGUAAACCGCUUUUGAUCGGGAGCAAGCCUUCGGGUGAGUGUACCUUUCGAAUAAGCACCGGCUAACUACGUGCCAGCAGCCGCGGUAAUACGUAGGGUGCAAGCGUUAUCCGGAAUUAUUGGGCGUAAAGGGCUCGUAGGCGGUUCGUCGCGUCCGGUGUGAAAGUCCAUCGCUUAACGGUGGAUCCGCGCCGGGUACGGGCGGGCUUGAGUGCGGUAGGGGAGACUGGAAUUCCCGGUGUAACGGUGGAAUGUGUAGAUAUCGGGAAGAACACC